RNAcentral lists this ribosomal RNA (275 nucleotides) under uncultured bacterium. RNAcentral describes it as "partial 16S ribosomal RNA". It matches the Rfam family "Bacterial small subunit ribosomal RNA", at positions 338 to 630 of the family's 1533-position model. The record is from RNAcentral.
CCUACGGGUGGCUGCAGCAAGGAAUUUUCCCCAAUGGGCGCAAGCCUGAGGGAGCAACGCCGCGUGCAGGAUGACGGCCUUCGGGUUGUAAACUGCUUUUGCUGGGGACGAUAGUGACGGUACCCGGCGAAUAAGCCCCGGCUAACUCCGUGCCAGCAGCCGCGGUAAGACGGAGGGGGCAAGCGUUGUCCGGAAUCACUGGGCGUAAAGCGCACGUAGGCGGGACGGUGCGUCGGUGCUGAAAGCGCCAGGCUUAACCUGGCGAGGCGUGCCGA